GGGGCAGUUUCAGUUUCGAUUGCGGCGGGGAGACGACGUAAGCAUACCAAAGGCUCGGCUUUGUAAAAACGGAAACUUAAAUUUAAAUGCAGAAAAAAAUUCUGAAAAAGUAAUGGCUUUCCCUGCUCGUCAGGCUAGCCUUGCUUGCGCAGCUUAAACUAUUGCUGUCCGUCGGCGGUACUCUCUUUCGCCUGAGUGCCGUCGGCGCUAAUCUCGGCGGAACUUUUGCAGUGACUUAACCGCUACAUGCAAAAGAAUUUUUGCGGUUUGCCCGCACAUAUUGCCCGUUUACACGGCGAGUGUGCGGAAAGAUUAAUGUGUAAACUAAGUAUGUAGAAAGCGCGUCCGAACGUCGUAAGACCGGGGUGCAAGUCCCCGCUGCUCCACCA
RNAcentral lists this transfer-messenger RNA (389 nucleotides) under Clostridia bacterium. It matches the Rfam family "transfer-messenger RNA". From Rfam's summary of the family: Bacterial tmRNA, also known as 10Sa RNA or SsrA, is named for its dual tRNA and mRNA-like properties. Its role is to liberate the mRNA from a stalled ribosome. To accomplish this part of the tmRNA is used as a reading frame that ends in a translation stop signal. Lineage: Bacteria; Bacillati; Bacillota; Clostridia. The record is from RNAcentral.